GACGAACGCUGGCGGCGUGCUUAACACAUGCAAGUCGAACGGAAAGGCCCUGCUUGCAGGGUGCUCGAGUGGCGAACGGGUGAGUAACACGUGGGUGAUCUGCCCCUUACUUUGGGAUAAGCCUGGGAAACUGGGUCUAAUACUGGAUAGGACCAUGCUGUAGGUGGUGUGGUGGAAAGAUUAGUUUCGGUAAGGGAUGAGCUCGCGGCCUAUCAGCUUGUUGGUGGGGUAAUGGCCUACCAAGGCGUCGACGGGUAGCCGGCCUGAGAGGGUGGACGGCCACAUUGGGACUGAGAUACGGCCCAGACUCCUACGGGAGGCAGCAGUGGGGAAUAUUGCACAAUGGGCGCAAGCCUGAUGCAGCGACGCCGCGUGGGGGAUGACGGCCCUCGGGUUGUAAACUCCUUUCAGCCAUGACGAAGCCCUUGUGGUGACGGUAGUGGUAGAAGAAGCACCGGCUAACUACGUG
This 469-nucleotide ribosomal RNA is filed under the name uncultured bacterium. RNAcentral describes it as "partial 16S ribosomal RNA". It matches the Rfam family "Bacterial small subunit ribosomal RNA", at positions 28 to 507 of the family's 1533-position model. The record is from RNAcentral.